This 364-nucleotide long non-coding RNA is filed under the name Homo sapiens (human). Its description in RNAcentral is "HSALNT0261944". Lineage: Eukaryota; Metazoa; Chordata; Mammalia; Primates; Hominidae. The record is from RNAcentral.
UCACACUUAUAAGGUUUCUCACCGGCAUGAAUUAUCAGAUGUUGGGCAAGGUAUGAAUUGCGACUGAAGACCUUGCCACAUUCAUUACAUUUGUAAGGUUUCUCUCCAGUGUGGAUUCUCUGAUGUUGUGCAAGGUGUGAAAUAUGAUGGAAGACCUUUCCACAUACAUUACAUCUGUAAGGUUUCUCUCCAGUAUGAAUGAUCAGAUGUUGUACAAGGUAGGAAUUGCGACUGAACACCUUGCCACAUUUGUUACAUUCGUAAGGUUUCUCUCCGGUAUGAAUUCUUUGAUGUUGUGCAAGGUGUGAAAUUUGAUUAAAGACCUUGCCACAUUCAUUACAUUUAUAUGGUUUCUCUCCAGUAU